Molecule: long non-coding RNA, 221 nt
Filed under: Gossypium raimondii (Peruvian cotton)
Lineage: Eukaryota; Viridiplantae; Streptophyta; Magnoliopsida; Malvales; Malvaceae
Description: long non-coding RNA (GRAI_LNC004360)
Source: RNAcentral
AAAAAGGCAAAACUACGUUGUUUUGAUAAAUGUUUACAUUUUCCGAAGUAAAAAGUCAAAACCAUUAUAUUAAAAGGCAAAACUAUGUUAUUUUGAUAAAUGUUUACCCAUAAACCUUACUUAUGUAGUUAAACGCAACAUUGAGUAUAAAUUAUAAGAUUCAUUAACUAGACUAAAUUGAUAUUUUAUGACUCGAUUCGAUUCAACUCAGUUGAACACCC